UACGUAGGGUGCAAGCGUUGUCCGGAAUUAUUGGGCGUAAAGAGCUCGUAGGCGGUCUGUCACGUCGGCUGUGAAAACCCGAGGCUCAACCUCGGGCCUGCAGUCGAUACGGGCAAACUAGAGUGUUGCAGGGGAGACUGGAAUUCCUGGUGUAGCGGUGAAAUGCGCAGAUAUCAGGAGGAACACCGGUGGCGAAGGCGGGUCUCUGGGCAGUAACUGACGCUGAGGAACGAAAGCGUGGGUAGCGAACAGG
Molecule: ribosomal RNA, 253 nt
Filed under: uncultured bacterium
Lineage: Bacteria
Description: partial 16S ribosomal RNA
Rfam family: Bacterial small subunit ribosomal RNA
Source: RNAcentral